RNAcentral lists this ribosomal RNA (497 nucleotides) under uncultured bacterium. RNAcentral describes it as "partial 16S ribosomal RNA". It matches the Rfam family "Bacterial small subunit ribosomal RNA", at positions 28 to 507 of the family's 1533-position model. The record is from RNAcentral.
GAUGAACGCUGGCGGCGUGCCUAAUACAUGCAAGUCGAGCGAACGGACGAGAAGCUUGCUUCUCUGAUGUUAGCGGCGGACGGGUGAGUAACACGUGGAUAACCUACCUAUAAGACUGGGAUAACUUCGGGAAACCGGAGCUAAUACCGGAUGAUAUUUUGAACCGCAUGGUUCAAAAGUGAAAGACGGUCUUGCUGUCACUAAUAGAUGGUUCCGCGCUGCAUUAGCUAGUUGGUAAGGUAACGGCUUACCAAGGCAACGAUGCAUAGCCGACCUGAGAGGGUGAUCGGCCACACUGGAACUGAGACACGGUCCAGACUCCUACGGGAGGCAGCAGUAGGGAAUCUUCCGCAAUGGGCGAAAGCCUGACGGAGCAACGCCGCGUGAGUGAUGAAGGUCUUCGGAUCGUAAAGCUCUGUUAUUAGGGAAGAACAUAUGUGUAAGUAACUGUGCACAUCUUGACGGUACCUAAUCAGAAAGCCACGGCUAACUACGUG